UUUUGAAGUAACUAGCUAAUCAUCAAAAACAUCUUAUAGUUUUGAAGUAACUAGCUAAUCAUCAAAAACAUCUUAUGGUUUUGAAGUAACUAGCUAAUUAUCAAAACAUCUUAUAUUUUUGAAGUAACUAGCUAAUUAUCAAACACAUCUUAUAGUUUUGAAGUAACUAGCUAAUUAUCAAACACAUCUUAUAGUUUUGAAGUAACUAGCUAAUUAUCAAAACAUCUUAUGGUUUUGAAGUAACUAGCUAAUUAUCAAACACAUCUUAUAGUUUUGAAGUAACUAGCUAAUCAUCAAAACAUCUUAUAGUUUUGAAGUAACUAGCUAAUUAUCAAACACAUCUUAUGGUUUUGAAGUAACUAGCUAAUCAUCAAAAACAUCUUAUAGUUUUGAAGUAACUAGCUAAUUAUCAAACAUCUUAUAGUUUUGAAGUAACUAGCUAAUUAUCAAAACAUCUUAUGGUUUUGAAGUAACUAGCUAAUUAUCAAAACAUCUUAUGGUUUUGAAGUAACUAGCUAAUUAUCAAAACAUCUUAUGGUUUUGAAGUAACUAGCUAAUCAUCAAAAACAUCUUAUAGUUUUGAAGUAACUAGCUAAUUAUCAAAACAUCUUAUGGUUUUGAAGUAACUAGCUAAUUAUCAAAACAUCUUAUAGUUUUGAAGUAACUAGCUAUUUAUCAAAACAUCUUAUAGUUUUGAAGUAACUAG
Ictalurus punctatus (channel catfish) is the source of this 706-nucleotide long non-coding RNA. Lineage: Eukaryota; Metazoa; Chordata; Actinopteri; Siluriformes; Ictaluridae. The record is from Ensembl.